UAGGGAAUAUUGGACAAUGGGCGAAAGCCUGAUCCAGCCAUGCCGCGUGAUAGAUGAAGGCCCUCUGGGUUGUAAAUAUCUUUUAUCUGGGAAGAAACUCCUCUAUUCUUAGAGGCCUGACGGUACCAGAGGAAUAAGCACCGGCUAACUCCGUGCCAGCAGCCGCGGUAAUACGGAGGGUGCAAGCGUUAUCCGGAUUCACUGGGUUUAAAGGGUGCGUAGGCGGGUUGAUAAGUCAGUGGUGAAAGCUCCGAGCUUAACUUGGAAACUGCCAUUGAUACUGUCAGUCUUGAAUGUCGUAGAGGUAAGCGGAAUGUUGCAUGUAGCGGUGAAAUGCUUAGAUAUGUUACAGAACACCAAUUGCGAAGGCAGCUUACUAUGCGAUUAUUGACGCUGAGGCACGAAAGCGUGGGGAGCGAACA
Molecule: ribosomal RNA, 422 nt
Filed under: uncultured Bacteroidota bacterium
Lineage: Bacteria; Pseudomonadati; Bacteroidota
Description: bacterial SSU rRNA
Rfam family: Bacterial small subunit ribosomal RNA
Source: RNAcentral